Molecule: transfer RNA, 76 nt
Filed under: Frankia casuarinae
Lineage: Bacteria; Bacillati; Actinomycetota; Actinomycetes; Frankiales; Frankiaceae
Description: tRNA-Glu
Rfam family: tRNA
About the family: Transfer RNA (tRNA) molecules are approximately 80 nucleotides in length.
Source: RNAcentral
GCCCCCAUCGUCUAGCGRCCCAGGACGUCGCCCUUUCAAGGCGGUAGCACGGGUUCGAAUCCCGUUGGGGGCACCA